This is a non-coding RNA of Parasteatoda tepidariorum (common house spider), 3229 nucleotides long. NCBI's taxonomy places the organism in Eukaryota, Metazoa, Arthropoda, Arachnida, Araneae, Theridiidae. The record is from RefSeq and is a predicted model, not a curated record.
GCCGCCGCAAAACAAAGGUUGAGAAUCACUGGUUUAAAGAUUUAAAAUCCUAUUAUUAUUACUAUAAAUAUCCCUUUUUAGUAUAUACUACCGGGGGGAGACAUGAUCCAGGAAAUUUUUCUGCCACUUAUCCAUUUUUAGGCAGAGAAAUUACUCCGGAAAGAGCUAUUCAAAUUCAUUACAAAUAAUAAUAUAUAAACUCAAACAUAAAUAUGAUUAUGAGUUUAUUUUAUUCGAAGAAAUUGAGUAAAUUGAAUGAAUUCCUAAGAAAAAAGAGUGAAAGAGCAAGUUCUUAAUGGUGUAUUGAAAAGGAUGAGAUAUAGUUAUAAAUGACUAAAGAUCAAUGAAUACUUAAAAUACUUAAAUUCUCCUUUUAAAAAUUAACAAUUCUAAAAUUUUGUCAGGUAUGAUGCAUUUUAAAAUUAUGCAGAAUCCUUCAUGUUUCAAAAUAAAAAGGAUAAUGCACCAGACGAGACUUAGGAGGUCUGCAAAAUUGAGUUCUAUAUAGAUUUUUACUACACAAGACCACCUUAAAUGACAAAGUGAAUAGAGUUGCUGUUGUAGCAGAUAAAAAUCAAUAAAAAGAUAAAAUCAUUCAAACUGUGCCUAUUCUCGGUAGUUGUCAUGUGUUUGGAAGGCAGAGAAGCUGCAUCUAUAGGAUUGUUUUUAAUAUGUGACCUUGAACAACAAGUUUACUCUCAAUGAAAUAAUCUCCAUUUCUCAAAAUGCCACCCACAUGAUAAACUAUUGAACUAGAUACUGCCCCUUUCUAUUCUCUGAGAAACAUGUUUUUCUUUCUAAGUUUCCAGGAAAUAUUUCUAUACAUGCCUUCACAGCUUGCCACAAUGUAAUUUACUUCUCACAAAAUAAAUUGUUUCCCUUAUUUAGAAAAAGACAGGAUAUCGAAACCAUUUCAACCUUUCAGUAUUGCCUCUUCCACAGGCAAAAUGGCAUUUCCUGCCUCUUUGUUUAGCUUCAGAAAUAUUGAUAAUAUAUUUCGGGAUCUGUCUUUUUUAAAAUUUUUAACAAUAGCUGAUUCCAGACACCUGAGGAAAGGACCUCAAAAUUACCAAAGUGAAUGCAUGUUUAGCAUUCAGUAUGUCAAUUGAGCUUGUAUGGAUGUGUCUGAUAGAUGUCUUGAAACUUUUUAUUUUUCAUGUAUUAGUUGUAAAAGAUUUCAGAUCAACAGAUACUUUCUUUUGAACUGAAAUUUGCAGCUUUUAACAGAAAAAAAAAUAAAACUUCUAAUUAUAUUUUAAAUAAAUUAUCAAAUCUUAGAAUAAACAUUAUCAAAUCUUAGCCAUGUAAUAUUGGAUACAAUGCAACAUUUAGGGCUGUCGUGCCGUUGAGUUUAGUUUAGCAACAUUUAGCAUACAAUACGUACCGUUAUUGAAAUUUUAAAGAUAUGAAAUGCUCGAGAAUUUUGUUUUGAAUUUCUUUUAUUUUUCAAUAUUAUUUUAUUAUUUCUUAAUGUGACAUAAAAUUUUUAGACAAAUAGGAGCGUGAAUUUUUGUUAUGAAAGAUGGCAAGUUCAUUUUCUAUUAGAGAAAAAAUAAAGACAAAAUUGAUUAGAAUUAUGUACACAGGAACUGUCAUAUGCACGUAAUCUCAUAAGUAUUAGCUACAUAGCUUUGUUCUUGUCACCAGUAUUUUUUAUUGAAAAAAGGAAAAAAACUGAAUAUUUUAAUAAUUAAGUGCAAGAAUGAAAAAUAAAUAAUGUAGUUAAAUGAAUGAUAAGUUCUACAUACAAAAUAUUACUGCAGAAAAACCCGUUUAUUAAAAGGGAUUAAAUAAUUAGCAUUAAACUUAUUCAAUUUUGUCUAAGAAACAAUACUUCAAAAUUAAUUUUAUGUAAUAAAAAUAUUAAUGAUUUAAAUAUAAUUUUUUAUCUCUUAUGAUAUUUGUUUUCAAUUUUAUAAGAGUGUAGUUUAUGCGAUCUUAAAGGAGAUAACCAAGUAAAAUAGUUAAACCAAAUCUGAAUAAUAAAAAUUUGCAUUUGGUAUCACUUUUUAAACCGAUAAAUGAAAUAAACUUUCAAAAUAUAAAAAAAAUAUAUGCCGUUAACUGUUUUAUUCACAUCUCAUUUCAAACAGUUUUGAAAGCUUCUUUUUUUAUCAACAUCUAAUAGGAUGUUGAUAACUUUAAGACAAGAAUAAAACUUGAAACAUUUAUCGAAGUCAUGUGUUUCUUUUGAAGCAGUCUAUUUAUAAUCCUUCAAGAAUCAAGAACAUCAAAAUACAUGUUUUAAAAAAAUAAAAAUUUCAAAUAAAAUGUAAAAUGUUUGCUUCUUUUUUAGAGAAUUAUCAAUAUACUUAGAAAGAAAUUAUCUAUAAAUGUUUCUUUUGUAGAAGUUUAUUUAUAAUCCUUCACGAAUUAAGAUCACUAAUAUACACCCUGUUUUAAAAUAAUAAAAAUUUUAAAUUAUUUAUAAAAAAAACUUGCUUGUUUUUCAGAGAAAUUGUUAAUAUAUUUAGAAAUUAUGUCUACAUUGGAAAAAAAAGUAAGCCAAAAAUAAUUACUGGUCUACAGCCCUUCAGGAAACAUGAGGUACAAAUUGCAACAAAAUAUUUCCUAUUCAUAAAUGGUUAAAGUAGUUACUGACUAAGUGGGGGAAUGAAUUUCGGUAAGAGGAGAAUCUUUGUUGCCGUAGCCAAAAGGUUAACCUAUUAAGAAAGGAGAAUAAGAAACACCACAAAUAAAAUAAAAAAUUUCAAAGCACAGAGUCACAUUCUGGAAUGUUAUAAGACAGAUUUUGUGAAUUUUAAAACUUUUUCUAAAACUGGAAAUGAUUAAAAAACUGUUAAUCUGAGGCAUUUCUUUUUAAUCCUUUUCUCAAAAUACAGUAAACAUUACUAGGUUCAUUUAAGUGAAGAAAAGUAUGAAAUAAAUUUAUUUUCAAAUAUUAUAAAACAUUUAUAAUAUUUCUAUAAUUAAAAAAUAAUAAAAUGUGCAUUUUAGCAAAAAGCGAUUAUCAAAUGGCGAUUACCAAACAUUUUUUUUACCCCUUUUUGUUGUAUUUAGUCACCCUUUGGCUAGUUGCGACUACUCAUUUUGCCUUAUAGAAAUAUUAAACAUUUUUAAACUGAAUUAAAUUAAUUUCUUUAAAAUAAUUUUUGAUCUUUUUUAGGGAGUUAAUACAACAUAGUAGCCAUACUAUCUCUCUAUACAAAUAAAGUAAAACGCAUCACCUUCUAAAGGCCCUUUAAUCAUCUGCCAGAGCCUCAACACU